AACCACACUAUCAAUGGAUGGAUGCAUCCGUGAUAUGACGUGGUUGUUACACCUAGGAUAAGAACGUGGCAUCCUAUUACCAGCCAUCGUAUGAAAUUAAUAGGAUGCCACGUCUUUAUCAUAGGUGGAACAACCACGUCAUCUCACAGACGAAUCCAUUCAUUGAUAGUGUGGUU
Oryza sativa Indica Group (long-grained rice) is the source of this 176-nucleotide microRNA precursor. It matches the Rfam family "MIR807 microRNA precursor family". The record is from Rfam. Lineage: Eukaryota; Viridiplantae; Streptophyta; Magnoliopsida; Poales; Poaceae.